GAGGAUAUAGCUCAAAUGGUAGAGCGCAUGCUUAGCAUGCACAAGGUCCUGGGUUCAAUCCCAGUACCUCCA
This 72-nucleotide transfer RNA is filed under the name Camelus ferus (Wild Bactrian camel). It matches the Rfam family "tRNA". Rfam says of the family: Transfer RNA (tRNA) molecules are approximately 80 nucleotides in length. Their secondary structure includes four short double-helical elements and three loops (D, anti-codon, and T loops). Further hydrogen bonds mediate the characteristic L-shaped molecular structure. tRNAs have two regions of fundamental functional importance: the anti-codon, which is responsible for specific mRNA codon recognition, and the 3' end, to which the tRNAs corresponding amino acid is attached (by aminoacyl-tRNA synthetases). tRNAs cope with the degeneracy of the genetic code in two manners: having more than one tRNA (with a specific anti-codon) for a particular amino acid; and 'wobble' base-pairing, i.e. permitting non-standard base-pairing at the 3rd anti-codon position. The record is from Rfam by way of RNAcentral. Lineage: Eukaryota; Metazoa; Chordata; Mammalia; Artiodactyla; Camelidae.